RNAcentral lists this ribosomal RNA (430 nucleotides) under uncultured bacterium. RNAcentral's name for it is "bacterial SSU rRNA". It matches the Rfam family "Bacterial small subunit ribosomal RNA", at positions 917 to 1345 of the family's 1533-position model. The record is from RNAcentral.
GGACCCGCACAAGUAGUGGAGCAUGUGGUUUAAUUCGAAGAUACGCGCAGAACCUUACCAACACUUGACAUGUUCGUCGCGGCUCUAAGAGAUUAGAGCUUUCGGUUCGGCCGGACGAAACACAGGUGCUGCAUGGCUGUCGUCAGCUCGUGUCGUGAGAUGUUGGGUUAAGUCCCGCAACGAGCGCAACCCUCACUUUUAGUUGCCAUCAUUUAGUUGGGCACUCUGAAAGAACUGCCAGUGAUAAGCUGGAGGAAGGUGGGGAUGACGUCAAGUCCUCAUGGCCCUUACGUGUUGGGCUACACACGUGCUACAAUGGCAUUUACAAUAGGAAGCAAGAUGGCGACGUCAAGCAAAUCCUAAAAAGAUGCCUCAGUUCGGAUUGUACUCUGCAACUCGAGUACAUGAAGCUGGAAUUACUAGUAAUCGC